Molecule: long non-coding RNA, 1038 nt
Organism: Vicia villosa (hairy vetch)
Lineage: Eukaryota; Viridiplantae; Streptophyta; Magnoliopsida; Fabales; Fabaceae
Exons: 5
Source: RefSeq, a predicted model, not a curated record
CAAAAAACUAUCAACCGACCGAAUCCGAUCCGGUCCGAGUGUUUUUUGAGUAAUUGGGUCGGUUUGGUUCGGGUCCACGGGUGGUCGGGUGAAGUAAACUGGGUUUAAGUGGAUAUAAUCGGUCGGUUCGGAUUUAGUUUUAGCAUCCGUCGGUGACCGAAACCGACCGAAUGCAGUAAAUUAUUAGGGCCUUUCCUCAGUUCCAACAAGCCCAACCCAGUAUAUUGAACCAAAUCCACACCCAUUUCAGACCUAAUUUAAGCUCCUAACCCUAAUCUCUUCUUCAUAUAUGUGUUAAUUUUUCUCUUCCCUUCAUCUGCGCCGUUUGAAGUCUGAGGUCAAUAUCUCUCUUUAUCCAUUGUCGUCGAUGAAAGAUUAAUCUAAGUUUGUUAAGAAGAGGGAUCGUUUUCUUGAUGUUCCACUUCUUGAGGAGUAAGUCCAUCAAUGCUUUGAGAGUGACAAGCCAAACUCAAUGUCUUUUUGUAAAGACAUAAGGAAAAGACUCACACAUCCCAGAAUGUGAAGGAUCUGAAGAAUAGAAAAAGUUAUGUUUUGGCGGAAAUUUCUUCAUGGUUGAAGGUAUUGGACCUUUGGAUACUAUCUUUAAACCAACAAAGUCAACAUAUCUCUUGUUUUUGGAUACUCUAUUUUGGAUUAGAUUUACCGGGAGAGAAGAAAAUGAGAAUGACAAAGCACUUUCUGCUAAGGACUCUAAUUCAAUAGCAUAUUUAUGAUCUUGUUCUGAUUGAAUUAUGACAUAAAGGUUGUUUUGAGAGAAGACAUCUUCAAGUCUAUUAAAUACCAAAAUAGCAUUUGAAGAGAAAAAAAAAGAUAGUUGAAAAAGUUUAUAAUAAAGAUUAUAUUCAAGAAAUAGCAUAUAAAUUGCAUUAUAGAUAAGCAUCAAGAGAUCACAAACAUCAAAUAUGGACAGAAUAAAUAUUGUGGUAUUUAGACUUGAUAAACAUUUUUAAUUUUCUAAUUUUUAAAUACUAAAAUAUAGAUAACUUUGUUUUUUUAAUGGAAGAAUUAAAUAUAAUA